UACGUAGGUGGCAAGCGUUAUCCGGAAUUAUUGGGCGUAAAGCGCGCGCAGGUGGUUUCUUAAGUCUGAUGUGAAAGCCCACGGCUCAACCGUGGAGGGUCAUUGGAAACUGGGAGACUUGAGUGCAGAAGAGGAAAGUGGAAUUCCAUGUGUAGCGGUGAAAUGCGUAGAUAUCUGGAGGAACACCGGUGGCGAAGGCGGCUCUCUGGGACGGUACUGACGCUGAGACGCGAAAGCGUGGGGAGCGAACAGG
Molecule: ribosomal RNA, 253 nt
Filed under: uncultured bacterium
Lineage: Bacteria
Description: partial 16S ribosomal RNA
Rfam family: Bacterial small subunit ribosomal RNA
Source: RNAcentral